AGUGAACGCUGGCGGUAGGCCUAACACAUGCAAGUCGAACGGCAGCACAGUAAGAGCUUGCUCUUACGGGUGGCGAGUGGCGGACGGGUGAGGAAUACAUCGGAAUCUACUUUUUCGUGGGGGAUAACGUAGGGAAACUUACGCUAAUACCGCAUACGACCUACGGGUGAAAGCAGGGGAUCUUCGGACCUUGCGCGAUUGAAUGAGCCGAUGUCGGAUUAGCUAGUUGGCGGGGUAAAGGCCCACCAAGGCGACGAUCCGUAGCUGGUCUGAGAGGAUGAUCAGCCACACUGGAACUGAGACACGGUCCAGACUCCUACGGGAGGCAGCAGUGGGGAAUAUUGGACAAUGGGCGCAAGCCUGAUCCAGCCAUACCGCGUGGGUGAAGAAGGCCUUCGGGUUGUAAAGCCCUUUUGUUGGGAAAGAAAAGCAGCAGGUUAAUACCCCGCUGUUCUGACGGUACCUAAAGAAUAAGCACCGGCUAACUUCGU
RNAcentral lists this ribosomal RNA (491 nucleotides) under uncultured bacterium. RNAcentral describes it as "partial 16S ribosomal RNA". It matches the Rfam family "Bacterial small subunit ribosomal RNA", at positions 29 to 506 of the family's 1533-position model. The record is from RNAcentral.